AGUUAACGCUGGCGGCGUGCCUAACACAUGCAAGUCGAGCGAAGUAACUGGCGUAGCAAUACGAUAAGUGCUGAGCGGCAGACGGGUGAGUAAUACGUAGACAACCUUCCUCUUUAAGGGGGGAUAGCCCACCGAAAGGUGGGGUAAUACCGCGUACGAUCGAGAGUCGGCAUCGAUUCUUGAUGAAACAUCCGCAAGGAUGGUAGAGAGACGGGUCUACGGCCUAUCAGCUAGUUGGUGAGGUAACGGCUCACCAAGGCAAAGACGGGUAACCGGCCUGAAAGGGUGGACGGUCACACUGACACUGAGACACGGGUCAGACACCUACGGGUGGCAGCAGUGAGGAAUCUUGGACAAUGGGGGCAACCCUGAUCCAGCGACGCCGCGUGAAGGAUGAAGGUCUUCGGAUUGUAAACUUCUUUUCUCUGGGAAUAAUAAAUCGAUAGAAAUAUCGAGAUUGAAUGUACCAGAGGAAUAAGCCACGGCUAACUUCGUGCC
RNAcentral lists this ribosomal RNA (498 nucleotides) under uncultured bacterium. Its description in RNAcentral is "bacterial SSU rRNA". It matches the Rfam family "Bacterial small subunit ribosomal RNA", at positions 29 to 509 of the family's 1533-position model. The record is from RNAcentral.